This 377-nucleotide ribosomal RNA is filed under the name Platypleura sp. 12 MHV-2009. Its description in RNAcentral is "partial 16S ribosomal RNA". Lineage: Eukaryota; Metazoa; Arthropoda; Insecta; Hemiptera; Cicadidae. The record is from RNAcentral.
AAAAUUAAAGGUCUAAUCUGCCCAAUGAUAAUUGAAUGGCCGCGGUAACUUGACCGUGCAAAGGUAGCAUAAUUAUUAGUCUUUUAAUUGAAGGCUUGAAUGAAAGAUUGGAUGAAAAAUAAACUUUAUUAACAAAAAUUAUUUAAUUUAUUAUUUAAGUAAAAAUUCUUAAAUAUACAAGUGGGACGAGAAGACCCUAUAGAGUUUUAUUUUUAUUUUUAUUAUUAAGUUUAAGAAUUAAUAUUUUUAUAAUAAAAAUAAAUUUUUUAUUGGGGUGAUAUUAAAAAUUAUUGAACUUUUAAUUAAUAUUUCAUUAAUAUAUGUAUAAUUGAUCCAAAUAAAUUUUUGAUUAUAAGACUUAAUUACCUUAGGGAUAA